This 448-nucleotide ribosomal RNA is filed under the name uncultured bacterium. RNAcentral's name for it is "bacterial SSU rRNA". It matches the Rfam family "Bacterial small subunit ribosomal RNA", at positions 460 to 908 of the family's 1533-position model. The record is from RNAcentral.
AAUGCGUAGAUGACGGUACCUGCAGAAUAAGCACCGGCUAACUACGUGCCAGCAGCCGCGGUAAUACGUAGGGUGCAAGCGUUAAUCGGAAUUACUGGGCGUAAAGCGUGCGCAGGCGGUUCGGAAAGAAAGGUGUGAAAUCCCAGGGCUUAACCUUGGAACUGCAUUUUUAACUACCGGGCUAGAGUGUGUCAGAGGGGGGUGGAAUUCCGCGUGUAGCAGUGAAAUGCGUAGAUAUGCGGAGGAACACCGAUGGCGAAGGCAGCCCCCUGGGAUAACACUGACGCUCAUGCACGAAAGCGUGGGGAGCAAACAGGAUUAGAUACCCUGGUAGUCCACGCCCUAAACGAUGUCAACUAGCUGUUGGGGCCUUCGGGCCUUAGUAGCGCAGCUAACGCGUGAAGUUGACCGCCUGGGGAGUACGGUCGCAAGAUUAAAACUCAGAUGA